This 527-nucleotide long non-coding RNA is filed under the name Gossypium barbadense (sea-island cotton). Its description in RNAcentral is "long non-coding RNA (GBAR_LNC002673)". The record is from RNAcentral. Lineage: Eukaryota; Viridiplantae; Streptophyta; Magnoliopsida; Malvales; Malvaceae.
GAUUGUCAAAUAAUAAUUAGCUACAAAAUUUAAAAUAAGAGUAAGGCAAAACAACAACAGAAGGAAAAAUUAAUGUCAAUAAUAGUAAUAAUAAAUAAUGUUAAAUAAUACUAAAUAGAUAGAUAGAUAAAUAAAUAGAAUAUAAAAAAUAAAGAACUAAGUUAAUUAUCAUUUUUUCACAAUAGUUGUCAUGUUAGCCGCCACCUCUUCGUUAUUCAACUACGUGUAGGAGUUUUAACCCUUGAAAACUACAUUUGAGAGGUUAAAUUGAGCGCAAUUUUUUAUUAAGGACUUAAUUUGUUUUUUAAUUCUUAUGAAAUUUUUCUAGCAUUUAAGUUUAUAUAUACAUACAUAAAAAUAAAAAAGAAAAUCUAAAAAUAAUAUUAUUGAGAAGGAUAACUAUAAACUCGAAAUAUUAAUUAUAAAACGAAUAUAAAAAAAUAAAAAAAUAAAACCCAAAAAUUAUGAGAAUCAAGUUUUCAAAAUUAAACUUGUCAAUCAAAAUUUAUUUUCUCUUUCUAAAUUUC